This 3651-nucleotide long non-coding RNA is filed under the name Marmota monax (woodchuck). The stretch from base 3132 to 3188 matches the Rfam family "tRNA", at positions 8 to 63 of the family's 71-position model. Lineage: Eukaryota; Metazoa; Chordata; Mammalia; Rodentia; Sciuridae. The record is from RNAcentral.
CAGAGUUCACUAACUUCCUCAAAGCCCACAACCAGUAAGUACAGGAGCUGGGGUGUAAAUUUCAUCAGUCCAACUUCAAAGCCUAUGCUUAGUCACUUACAUUAAAUACACAAGACACAUUUAAAUAAUGCUUCUAUUAUGUUCUAUUGCAAAAAACAGAAUUGCUUUUAUUAGGUUUCUCUGUACUUUAGAAUUGCCAAAAUCUUGCUAAUCUUCACUAAUUCCCCACAGCACACAACAUUGUCCUGGUCACCAUUGGUCAUCACUCGUGUUAAUUCAUAAGAAACAUUAUACUAGAAGUGUACUAACUAAAGAACAAGACACUUGAAUCAAUGGAUUGGCUGGUGUAUCUGUCAAUAAGUGUACCUGGCUAUGAAAGAAAAGUGGCGCAGGACUGAUCAAACACACACCUAGGAUAAGAAGUGGGUUUAUUGUCAGGAUCCUGACAAGGCUGCUCUGCACAGAGAGUGACAGCAGCUGCAAGGAGAGAGAGCAGCAGCAACUCCCCCCUUAAUGUUACCUUUUAUAGGCUAGAAUCACCGCUGCGCACUAGGGGCGGGUUUAGUCUUGACUGACAUAGUAAGCAUCCCCUGAUCUUGGGGAAAGCAAGUUUGUUUCUUGGGAACAGAGACAGACAGUUUUCCUAUCUCUCAGAGGGGGAACAAGAAAACCAGCAUGUCCCUUUAUCUUCUCAAGGAGAGAACAGGGAUUCCAGUACGUCCCCAUCUCAGAGGCCAGUAAGUUGUCUCCUAUCUCUCAAUGUGAGAACAGGGAGAGACCAGCACAUCUCCAGGCCGGUAGGUUUUAUCUGGGGCUAGUUUCUAUUUCUUGGGAAUAAGAACAGUAUUCAUAAAGUGGAGAUGGGGAAAAGGAAGAUGGCUGCAAUUAUGCUCACAGUCUAUGUCUUCCUCUCAUGUCUCUUUCUCCCACUCUCUCUCUCUCACUCUUUCACUCUCCCCACCCCUCCCUCUGUCUCUUGUCUGUAUGUCUCAACAUGUCUGUCUCCAUCUUAUUUCUCUUUGUCUCUUAAGUCUUACUGCCUCUGUUUUACCUUAUUACCUCUAAGUCUGUGGCUAUCUCUGUCUCUCUCACAUGCACACACAUGCACUCAAUUAAAUUUCAGAGCUGCAUAAUACUUCCAAGAUCUGAACAGAUUAAUAACCUUGAAUUAAUUUGAUAUCAUAAAGUAUUCCUACAGAAAGCCUGAAGUCCCCAGAGACUCAAGUUACCAGCUAAAGGACAAUAGUUGAUAAUGUGGGUUGGACAGAACUGAGUCCUUGCAAGCUUCAUGACCUAAUUAUAAGUCUAUCCAAACCACAGUUCCUUUGUAAAGUGGGUAGUGCUGAGACUAUCAUAUAGAGCUAUUGUGAGGAUCAAGUGCAAUAAUAAAUCUAAAGCUCUUAACACAGGGUCUAGUUAAUGCUAAACAGCUAGCAACAAUGCUAGUUACUAUUGUUACUGUUUUUUUACAGCAUCUUGUUUGCCAUUAGAUUCUCCACAUUUAGUGUAGUACAUGGCUCACACCUGGACCUCAGAAUUUGCUCAGAGAAACAAAAUACAAAGAGACAGAUGUGCCCAGACAUACAGAAAAACAUAAGACAGGCAAAAAGAGACACUGAAAGAAAGACAUGACAGAGUAUGGGAGAAACAUAUAGGUGUACAGAGUGUCAAACACGCCAAGCAGCCCACUAAGCAAUCUUUUGCUCUUUUGCUCUAAACUUUCUUUCACUAAUAUGGGUCCAGGACAAUGUUUCUUUACAUUUUUCUUGUGAAUCAAAAUGAAUGAUGAACAAUAAGAUCACAUUCUCCUUUUUGUAACCAAGCUUCCCAGGCUAUAGUGGGGAGCUUAGAAGUGGGGAGGGUAUGCUCACAUCCAACAUGAUAUCACAGAGGUAGUGAAUGGCUGGCUAAGGAGAGAGGCACCCCAGGAGCAGGCUGUCCUGACACUCUCUGAGUGAAUAGACCCCAUGACCCCAUGACCUUGAACUCUCACAGAGGCCUCCUCCUUAAUUGAUGAGAAGGAUUCUAUUGCUUUCCUCAGCAGAGCCACUGGACAAUGCCACAGGGACUUUCAACCACAACUAUAUAGGGCUAACUUUUAUCCCCAUGUCAAAGGGGAAAACAACCCAGUUCUCUCUGCUUGUGUUGGCCUUCAAUACAGUAUUUUCUGGUGCAGCUAUCAAUUGUGAGCUUUGUAACACCUGUCACAACACACUUUGGUAAAAUUGUGUAAGUAUGGAAGAGGUCACAUUUGGAACAGCAGGUCUUUAGGAAACAUGUGUUAAGCAAACUGAGGAAAAGAUAUUUCACAUGAUGUUAGAGGACAACAAAAUCAUAGGGAAAAGAGUUGAAGAACACCAGUGUUCUAAGGUUUAAAGUUUCUAAACUACUACUCACCCCACCCCACCCCUCACUGUAGUUCUUAAAUGGCAUGGGAGGAAAAGGGACAUUUCCAACAGGAUGUUAAACUGAUUUCGGUGAGGGGAGAAUGGGCUCUCUCUCCUGCAGUCAGCAGGCUGGAAUAGUGCCCUUCUCCCCUGAGGACAGAUUCUGCGCAACUCCAUUCACUCACAGCCACCUUCCUGCUCCUUCCUGUACCUCCAUGUGGCUGAAGCUGGCUGAUUUGGGCCAUAAGAUGUUGCCUAGUCACUGUUACAAAGCUCUUCUGAUCUCUAUGGAUCCAGAAGUUAUAAAAACCUGGGAACUCUCUUCUACCCUUCACAUCAAACCUACUUCACCAUGUCAGUCAACAAUAGUGUCAGUACCUUAAAGCUGAGCUGUAAUAGGAACCCUAAACUAUUGUAAAUCCUGAUAAGAUUGUCUUCCUAAUUUUUAAUUUCACUUCAAAAUUUCACUUAUUCUUCAGAAAAAAAGAAGCUUCCAAGGAACAAGCAGUUACUGGGCCUACCCACUUUAUCAGAGAUUCCCAAGAAAGUCAUUGAAGGCAACAGAUCUUUACUUUCACGUUUAAAGAAGUACAGCUAAUCCUGGAGUUGGAUGGUAGUUGCACAACAAUGUAAAUGUACUUAAUGCCACUGAGCUCUACACUUUAAAAUGGGUAAGGCAGUAAGCUUUUUGUUACAUAUAUUGUGCCAGAAUAUUUUUUAAUUAAAAAAGAAGGGCUAAGGCUAUGGCUCAGUGGUAGAGCACUCGUCUCACAUGUGUGAGGCACUGGGUUCAAUCCUCAGCACCACAUAAAAAUAAAUAAAAUAAAGGUAUUGUGUCCAUCUGCAACUAAAAAAAAAAAAUUUUUAAAGAAUUUUUUUUUUAAAUUGAAUGCAAUAUUUGUAAAGAAGUUCAGAUAAGUCACAGGGAACUUAACAAUCACCGGUGAUGAUGAUUUAAGGGAAUCUUUGUACUAUAGAAAGGUUACCAACUUCAAGAGUUUAUGAAAAUUAAAAGCAGAAAAAUAUAUGCCCUUAUCCUACAAAUGCCUUUAAAUCAAAAAUCAAUAUACUCUCUGUCAGGAUGAACCCAACUACAGUGUAUAACUAUAAAGCACUAAUAAAAAAAAAUCAAUAUACUCUCAUGGGUAUGAGUAUUGUUUAUAAAUAAGAUUUUCUAAAGAAUAUCACUAAGCUUUUCUUCAGAAACCGGUUCUUCCACAAUUGUAGCUUGAAGAACAUUCAGAUCUCAGGGGUAGUUUAUAAG